AGAGAUGUGGCUCAAAGGUAGAGCAUUUGCCUGGCAUGUGUGAGGCUCUGGGUUCAAUUCUCAGCACUA
RNAcentral lists this transfer RNA (69 nucleotides) under Ictidomys tridecemlineatus (thirteen-lined ground squirrel). Its description in RNAcentral is "Spermophilus tridecemlineatus (thirteen-lined ground squirrel) tRNA". It matches the Rfam family "tRNA". Rfam says of the family: Transfer RNA (tRNA) molecules are approximately 80 nucleotides in length. Their secondary structure includes four short double-helical elements and three loops (D, anti-codon, and T loops). Lineage: Eukaryota; Metazoa; Chordata; Mammalia; Rodentia; Sciuridae. The record is from Rfam by way of RNAcentral.